CCUACGGGUGGCAGCAGUGGGGAAUAUUGCACAAUGGGGGAAACCCUGAUGCAGCGACGCCGCGUGAGUGAAGAAGCGUUUCGGCGCGUAAAGCUCUGUCAGCGGGGAAGAAACACGGUUCGCGAGAGCCGCGGACGGUACCCGACUAAGAAGCCCCGGCUAACUACGUGCCAGCAGCCGCGGUAAUACGUAGGGGGCAAGCGUUAUCCGGAUUUACGGGGUGUAAAGGGAGCGUAGACGGUAUGGCAAGUCUGAAGUGAAAGCCCAGGGCUUAACCCUGGGACUGCUUUGGAAACUGUUAGACUAGAGUGCUGGAGAGGUAAGUGGAAUUCCUAGUGUAGCGGUGAAAUGCGUAGAUAUUAGGAGGAACACCAGUGGCGAAGGCGGCUUACUGGACAGUAACUGACGUUGAGGCUCGAAAGCGUGGGGAGCAAACAGGAUUAGAUACCCUUGUAGUC
Molecule: ribosomal RNA, 458 nt
Filed under: uncultured bacterium
Lineage: Bacteria
Description: partial 16S ribosomal RNA
Rfam family: Bacterial small subunit ribosomal RNA
Source: RNAcentral